UACGUAGGGUGCGAGCGUUAAUCGGAAUUACUGGGCGUAAAGCGUGCGCAGGCGGCUUUGUAAGCCAGGUGUGAAAUCCCCGGGCUCAACCUGGGAAUGGCAUUUGGGACUGCAAGGCUGGAGUGUGGCAGAGGAGACUGGAAUUCCUGGUGUAGCAGUGAAAUGCGUAGAUAUCAGGAGGAAUACCGAUGGCGAAGGCAGGUCUCUGGGCUGACACUGACGCUCAUGCACGAAAGCGUGGGGAGCAAACAGG
RNAcentral lists this ribosomal RNA (253 nucleotides) under uncultured bacterium. RNAcentral's name for it is "partial 16S ribosomal RNA". It matches the Rfam family "Bacterial small subunit ribosomal RNA", at positions 524 to 776 of the family's 1533-position model. The record is from RNAcentral.